CAUUUCGUGCGGCAGCUCGGUCCUGAGGAGACGGGGCUCGGCAGCGGCCGGGUGGGGAGGAGGAGAAGAAGGAGGAGGAGGGAGGCACCGGCUGCGGCACCGAGGCAGGAAGCGGCGGCCGCUGGGGGGGUGGGGGGAGGGGAAGGAGACAGGAAAAAAGGAGAAAAAAAAGAAAAAGAGGCAAAACAAGGCGGCGGCAGCAGCGGAGGCUCCGCGCGGAGGACCCGUCGCCGCCGGGCUCGCGGCUACCGGAGCGCCUCCCGACUCCCCCGGAGCCGGUGUCGCGGCAGCCGGCCUCUCCCCCUCUCCCCGUUCUCUCGUCGCUCUCGCCCGCGGAGCCUCCCUCCUGCUCCUUCCAUCGCCGGCAGCAGCGUCCCCCGCGGCGACCCUCCCGGCGCCCGGCCGGUUUACAUGAGGGGGAAGGAAGCCCGCCUGGAGCCGAGAAGACGCGCAGCAGGGGAAGGACUGCUCCGAGGAGCCGCCGCCGCCGGACUCCGCUCCCCGGUUAGUCCGCCGGGCCCCCCCUCUGCUGCGCCCAGCGGCCGAGACCCCGUCCCGUAAUCUCCGGGAGAUUUGGGAGAACCGGUUAAACACCUUCCAUGGGGGAGAGAGGAGCCCGGCCCCCCGCCGCCAGCACCUUCCCCUCCCUGCCGGAGGCUGCUCCUCUCCUGAGGUAAAAAAACCCCCUCCUGCCUUCCCCGACACUAGGACUCUUGCGAGGGAGGGGGGACACUGCGGGGGCACCCCACAGAGAGCCGGGGCCUGGCGAGCCGAGCCCGCCCGCCCCUGCCCCGCUGGAUGCCGAGUCCUUGAGGAGGAGGAGGAACAACACACACACACUCGCAAAUCCACCGGCCUUUCAGCCCGGGGCUCGCUGUCUGCGGGGAACCCGCGUAUCUCGGUGGAAAGAGGCGAGCCCCGCACCAGAACCCACCCUCCCAGCAGCAGUGAGAGCAAGAAAAUCUCCUUCCCCUUCCUCCUGCACAACUCGCUGUCCCCUCCCUUCCCUUUCCCGAACUGUGAAUGCUGAUUUCUGAGAUGAAAAUCUUCCUCAUCGGACAGCCAGGACUCGUAUGAAGGACACGCAAAUACUGGAUCAUAAAUAAGAAGCGAGUCUGGCGAGCUCAGAAACCCAGCCCAAAAGGAGCAGCAUCAAGAAUCCACCCCUCUCCUGCACAACUGACUCCCCACCCAACACACAUAGAAUACUAAUUUCCUGAGAUAAGAUCUUGCCCCUUUAAACAACCACACACACGCGCAUACACACACAGUGUAUAUUAUUGCUAAAUAUAAUAGGUUAAACCCAACAGCACGGGGGGAAAAAGCCUCUAUUGCAACUUGGUCCCCCUUUUCACCCUUCUGAAUGCUGAGAUCCUGAGGUAAAUUUUUCCCUUACCCACAGCAAAGACUCUUUUUGAACAGGACACAAAUAUAUAUUAGAUUAUAGAGAUGUAUUAAAUUAUUCCAGAUUUAAAUCUAUUUUUUGCUGCCAAGGGGUCAGGGGACCAGACGUCAUUGUAUUUUCUUUUUUUUUCCCUUCCCUCUUAACUCAUUUAUGGGCGAGUUGAGGCUGCUGAGAAGGAAGAAAACAGGAUAGUUACAAUCUCUUUAUCCUUAUUCCCCAGAAGCUUUCUCUCUCAUUGCUGUGCAUUUCCUUUAGGAAAAAAAGGAAACCUCUUAUUUUGUGAACCAAAGAUUUAUUUUUCCCUUCCUCCUGGCCAAAGGAAGGAAACAGACAAAAUUGACACAUUUAAAUAGUUGGAGAGAUCUAUCUUUUGCAAAAAAA
RNAcentral lists this long non-coding RNA (1786 nucleotides) under Strigops habroptila (Kakapo). RNAcentral describes it as "lncRNA (ENSSHBG00005016148.1)". The record is from RNAcentral. Lineage: Eukaryota; Metazoa; Chordata; Aves; Psittaciformes; Psittacidae.